Molecule: ribosomal RNA, 251 nt
Filed under: uncultured bacterium
Lineage: Bacteria
Description: partial 16S ribosomal RNA
Rfam family: Bacterial small subunit ribosomal RNA
Source: RNAcentral
UACGUAGGGUGCGAGCGUUGUCCGGAAUUAUUGGGCGUAAAAGAGCUUGUAGGCGGUUUGUCGCGUCUGCUGUGAAAAUCCGGGGCUCAACCCGGACUUGCAGUGGGUACGGGCAGACUAGAGUGUGGUAGGGGAGACUGGAAUUCUGGUGUAGCGGUGAAAUGCGCAGAUAUCAGGAGGAACACCGAUGGCGAAGGCAGGUCUCUGGGCACUACUGACGCUGAGAAGCGAAAGCAUGGGGAGCGAACAGG